This 3115-nucleotide long non-coding RNA is filed under the name Homo sapiens (human). RNAcentral's name for it is "non-protein coding lnc-EIF5B-4:1". The record is from RNAcentral. Lineage: Eukaryota; Metazoa; Chordata; Mammalia; Primates; Hominidae.
AGAGAUGAGUUUACUUUUUUAAAAAAGCUGCAUGAUGCGGCUUUAAAAAUUAAAUGACAGUGUGGCAUCUGUUACUUUUUGGAUCACUGUAACUGGAUUUCCAUCAACUCGAAAUCACUCCAGUGUUAAUUAUCUAGUCUUUUCUUCCACUGGUGGCCUCUCUUUGGUCAUUUCACUGCUUGUUUUUACAAAUGGCUGAAGUUCACUCUUCACCCUCGGUGAAGAGAAGUCAAGGGAGGUGACAGGGCUGAGGUCUUCCUCUGUCACUGAGGCUGCUGGUGGGGAAGCUGGCACAGAAUGGAGGUGGGCAGGAAGGAGGCCGAGAAUUAAAUUUAGUAAUCCUAGGAAACCUUCCUGGAGAGGUCAUCAUGUGCCUCUCUCUCCCCUGAAGAACUGAGAAUUAAUUAAUCAUUAUACUUCAGCUCUUGUGCCUGUACUUGGCACUUAGUAAGUGCUCCAUAUGUACCAAAAGGAACCUGGGAGACGUUUUGCACAAUUUUAGGUGACAUUCUAGCCCAGUGAUCUCUUGAAGGUUGCUUAUUUUUACUGCUUAAAGGAAGAGACGAUUAUCUAUUAUAUUACUUCUUUUUAAAUUUUUCCUCUUUCUUCAUUAUAUUUGCCAAAAGUUUUCUAUUUUCAAAGAAACAGCUUUUGAUUGAUAUACCAUAAUAACUCUAGUAUUUUCUGGCUUUGCAAGCAGGGAAUUCAACAUCCUUCUUCGACAACUGGGAUGGGAGCUGCCAUGUGGCCUGGGCCCAGCCAUGAGAAAGCUGAGAACAUCCACUUGGACAACUCCUCCCCUGGCAGAGGGAGCUGAAAGCGUGGAUGGAGUGACUGCCAUCUGGUGGGCGUGUGGGAGCCAGGGUGCAUGGGAUGGGAGGCGCUGCCUCUUUGGAGGCUGAGAUGGCUGGCUGGCGGGUGGGAUGGCCGUGCCAGGGGUUGGGGGCCAUUGCCCUCCAGCUGCCAAGAGUGAGCAGGCUGCCCCAGAUGAGCGAAUAACCUCAGCAGUGUUUCAUCUAACCUGCUUGCAGGACACAGCUUCCAUAUGCUUCCAACUUCCUCUGUGUGCUCUCCCUGCCACUGCAGCUGCUGGAUAUGGGCAGGGAAGCUCCUACUCGAUGGCUUUUCAGGCACCAGGUCUAUGGGGAAAUGCUGGGAGAUUCUGGGCUACCAGAAUUGCCUGAUACUCUGAGCUUCUUUCUAGCCCUAAUCUCAGAGGUUAGAUUCCCAGGGACUGCUUAUAGAGGUGAAAUCAUGUUGAGGGCACCUCUGUAAACCCAUCUGCUUCCUACCUCAAUCCUGGAAGAGAGAGGCUCUACUGUGAGGAACACCUCUUUUACCCCAAGCAAUGGGAGCGUUUUAAGGCAAUGUAACCCAUUAGAGAUCCUGCCACCCAUGCACUUAUUUGUAAUAGUCCUUCCAUUUAUUCAUAUAUAUUUUCAGUUCGAGGAGGCCUUUUGGAUAGUGCGGCCUCAAACUUCCAUCCUCAUGGAAACUCCAUAAUCCAUAUGGCAGUAACACUCUACCAGAGCUCUUUGACUUUUUUUUUUUAAAAACAUCUUUAUUAAGAUAAAAUUUACAUACCACCCCUUUAAAGUAUAUAAUUCAAUGUAUUUUAUAAUCUUCAUAGGAUUGUACAACUAUCACCAUGAUCUAAUUUUAAAACAUUUUUUAUCCUCAUUUAUCCUCCUUAAAAGAAAACAGCACUUUGGGAGGCUGAGGCAGGUGGAUCACCUGAGAUCAGGAGUUUGAGACUAGCCUGACCAAUAUGGUGAAACCCUGUCUCUACUAAAAAUACAAAAAAAUUAGCUGGGUGUGGUGGUGUGCACCUGUAGUCCCAGCUACUCGGGAGGCUGAGACAGGAGAAUCGCUUGAACCCAGGAGGUGGAGGUUGCAGUGAGCCGAGAUCGCGCCACUGCACUCCAGCCUGGGUGACAGAGUGAGACUGUCUCAAAAAAAAAGAAAAGAAACUGUGUACAUCAGCAGUCAAUUCCCAUUCUUCCCACUCCAAGCUCCCCUUGCCCCCAGCCCUAAGCAAGCACUAAUCUCCUUCCUGUAGCUAUAAAUUUGCCUAUUCUAGACAUUUCAUAGACAUGGAAUGAUGUAAGUAUGUGGUCUUCUGUGACUGCUUCUUUCACUUAGUGUAAUGUUUUCAAGGGUCAUCUAUACUGUAGCGUGUAUCAGCACUUUGCUGCUUUUCCUGGUUGAAUAAUAUUCCAUUGUAUGAAUAUACCACAUUUUGCUUAUCCUUUCAUUAGCUGAUGGACGUCGGAUUGUUUCCAUUUUGGGCUACUAUGGAUAAUGCCACUAUGAGCAUUCAUGUCUAAGUUUUGUGCGAACAUACGUUUUCAUUUCUCUUGGGUAUAUACAUAAAAGAGGAAUUGCUGGGUCCUUUGUUAACUCUAAGUUUAAUCUUUUGAGAACUGCAAGACUAUUUUCCAAAGCAGUUGCACCACUUUGCAUUCCCACCAGGAGUGCAUGGGGUUCUAACUUCUCCACAUGCUUGUCGGCAACUGUUAUUGUCCAUCUUUUUCAUUCUGCCCAUCAUAGUGGGCGUGAAGUGGUGUCUCACUGUGGUUUUGAUUUGGAUUUCCCCAGAGGAAAAUGAUGUUGAGUAUCUUUUCAUGUGCUUGUUAGCCAUUUGCAUAUUUUCUUUGGAGAAUGUGUAUUCAAAUCCUUUGGCCUUUUAAAAACUUAUAAUUGAGUUAUAUUAAUUUUCUAUAUAUUCUGGAUACAAGUUGUUUAUCUGAUAUACAUUGUGCAAUGUAUAUCAGUAUAUAUCUCUGUCUGUGGUUUGUGUUUUUACUUCCUUGAUGGUAUCAUUUGCUACAACACAAACAUUUCUAAUUUUGCGGUAGUUCAGGUAACCUGUAUUUUUCUUUUGUCACUUGUCCUUACUUGACUUCGCUUAAUAGUAACAGAUGUUUAAAUAUAUAGGAUUCUUUAACUGUUUUCAAGGCAUUUUCUUUUCAAGUCCCACCUCUGAGCCUCACAACAAACCAAAGGAGUAGAAAAGUCAGCUACAGUUAUGUCUACAGAAGGCAGAGCAGAGGGGUCCAGUGACUCACUCUAGGUUGCAUAUCAGGUUAGUGGAGGAGAGAGGUUGAAGCCCAGA